Molecule: ribosomal RNA, 511 nt
Filed under: Melanargia arge
Lineage: Eukaryota; Metazoa; Arthropoda; Insecta; Lepidoptera; Nymphalidae
Description: partial 16S ribosomal RNA
Source: RNAcentral
GUCUUUUUGAAAUAAUUUAAAGUCUAAUCUGCCCACUGAUAAAAUUAAAGGGCUGCAGUAUAUUGACUGUACAAAGGUAGCAUAAUCAUUAGUUUCUUAAUUGGAAACUUGUAUGAAAGAUUUGAUGAAAUAUAAACUGUCUCUAAUUUAUAAAUUGAAAUUUAUUUUUUAGUAAAAAAGCUAAAAUAAAUUUAAAAGACGAGAAGACCCUAUAGAGUUUUAUAUUUAAUUUUAUUUGAAAAUUAUAUAAAAAUUAAUAUUUAAAUAAAAUUAAUUAUUAUAUUGGGGUGAUAGAAAAAUUAAAUUAACUUUUUUUAAAAAUUAAACAUAAAUAAAUGAUUAAAUGAUCCAUAAAUAAUGAUUAUAAGAAAAAAUUACCUUAGGGAUAACAGCGUAAUAUUUUUUUUUAGCUCAAAUAAGAAAAAAAGUUUGCGACCUCGAUGUUGGAUUAAGAUAAAAUUUAAAUGCAAAAGUUUAAAAUUUUGAUCUGUUCGAUCAUUAAAAUCUUACA